AAAAGAAGAUGAGAAUGCCUCACUGACGAAAGGUACCAAGGCACAUGGCUAAACAUAGACAAGAAUUAUGAGCUAAUUUAAGUUGUAAGAGCUAGUUAAUAAUAAGCCUGAACUAGUAGGUCAAAUAGUUUAUAAUUAAUAUAAGACUCUGUGUAUUUCUCUGGGACUAAACAGCUGCAGGACCAGACAGGACAGAAACUUCCAUCCAUGAAUGGCACCUGACAUGAGGCAUGGCUCCCAGACUAGUCCGAGUGUGACGAGCUGAACAGUUCAACUCUCCCAUGAACUGAAGCGGAGAAUUUGGAGCGCCGGUAACCUGCCUAUUGGAACUUUGCACUAGAUCAUAGUUAUGGAAGAAUAAAUAUUCACCAAAUGAUUUUACCUACUGUACAAAUGGACCAACAGCACCUAUUGACCUAAGCAAAGGUAAUGAGGGACUGC
This is a long non-coding RNA of Alexandromys fortis (reed vole), 441 nucleotides long. RefSeq lists it as uncharacterized. The record is from RefSeq and is a predicted model, not a curated record. The transcript has 3 exons. Lineage: Eukaryota; Metazoa; Chordata; Mammalia; Rodentia; Cricetidae.